ACGGGAGGCAGCAGUGAGGAAUAUUGGUCAAUGGACGGAAGUCUGAACCAGCCAUGCCGCGUGAAGGAAGAAUGCCCUAUGGGUUGUAAACUUCUUUUGCCACAGAGUAAUAAGGGUCGUGCGCGGCCUGAUGAGAGUAUGUGGCGAAUAAGCAUCGGCUAACUCCGUGCCAGCAGCCGCGGUAAUACGGAGGAUGCAAGCGUUAUCCGGAUUUAUUGGGUUUAAAGGGUGCGCAGGCGGCUUUUUAAGUCAGUGGUUAAAUCGUGACGCUCAACGUCAUCACGCCAUUGAUACUGGAGAGCUUGAUUGCGGUCGAGGUUUGCGGAAUUCGUUGUGUAGCGGUGAAAUGCAUAGAUAUGACGAAGAACACCGAUUGCGUAGGCAGCAGACCAGGCCGUAAAUGACGCUCAUGCACGAAAGUGCGGGGAUCGAACAGGAUUAGAUACCCUGGUA
This 453-nucleotide ribosomal RNA is filed under the name uncultured Dysgonomonas sp. RNAcentral's name for it is "partial 16S ribosomal RNA". It matches the Rfam family "Bacterial small subunit ribosomal RNA", at positions 341 to 792 of the family's 1533-position model. The record is from RNAcentral. Lineage: Bacteria; Pseudomonadati; Bacteroidota; Bacteroidia; Bacteroidales; Dysgonomonadaceae.